CUCAAGGUAUUGAGAAUUUGAGACAUACAUUAUUAGUGAUUAAUUUCUAAAUGCUCUCGAUCGAAGGAUCGUCAUGGAGAACAGUGAUCAAUCCAUUCAAGAUCGGUGCACGGAUCAUCUGCUUUUGAGGUAGAUGAGUCUCGAGUCUGUGGUAUAGAGAUACUAGGAUGAGAGUACAGGUGGUUGUUAGAGAACACUUGCAUUGAGCGUGACAACACGAGAAAUUAUUUAGAUGUCUACU
This 241-nucleotide long non-coding RNA is filed under the name Elaeis guineensis (African oil palm). RNAcentral's name for it is "long non-coding RNA (EGUI_LNC055352)". The record is from RNAcentral. Lineage: Eukaryota; Viridiplantae; Streptophyta; Magnoliopsida; Arecales; Arecaceae.